This 450-nucleotide ribosomal RNA is filed under the name uncultured bacterium. RNAcentral's name for it is "bacterial SSU rRNA". It matches the Rfam family "Bacterial small subunit ribosomal RNA", at positions 96 to 562 of the family's 1533-position model. The record is from RNAcentral.
CGGCGGACGGGUGAGUAACGCGUGAGUAACCCCCCUAGUACAAAGGGAUAGCCUCGGGAAACCGGGAUUAAUACCAUAUGACACUAGUUUACCGCAUGGUAGAUUAGUUAAAGCGAUUAAGUGGUACUAGAUGGACUCGCGUCUGAUUAGCUAGUUGGUGAGAUAAAAGCUCACCAAGGCGACGAUCAGUAACCGGCUUGAGAGAGCGAACGGUCACAUUGGAACUGAGACACGGUCCAAACUCCUACGGGAGGCAGCAGUGGGGAAUAUUGCACAAUGGAGGAAACUCUGAUGCAGCGACGCCGCGUGAGUGAUGAAGGUCUUCGGAUCGUAAAACUCUGUCCUUUGGGAAGAUAAUGACAGUACCAUUGGAGGAAGCCCCGGCUAACUACGUGCCAGCAGCCGCGGUAAUACGUAGGGGGCGAGCGUUGUCCGGAAUUAUUGGGCGUA